AUGGCCGGGCGAGUGUGCAGCGAGGAACGCGAGACGAACUUGCCGAGAAAUGCCGAUACUCUACCGCGCGAAAUUACGUCAACAUCCACGUCAAAGAAUAACGACGUGGCCAAAGAGAGGAUAGCGAUAGAAGAACGACUGGAUGCUAAAAUGUUUUCUUACGAAAUUAUUUGUUUUCUCUUUGCUAUUACUUUUACCGCUAUGGCUGCUCUGCAUAGCUCACCACCUAAACUCUCCAGGCCUCCUACAGCAAAACCUUUUUUUGAUCAGAACUCUGUGAUAUUAGACUUCUAUAAGGGUCAUCUGGAUGCAAUGAUUGAGAGGAUAACGCAAGCAGAUUUUAGUUUUGUUAUGUAUUAUGCGCCUUGGGAUGCAGAAAGUCAGGUGCUUCGACAUGAAUUUGAAAGUGUUGCUCAGUUUUAUUAUCCGCAGAUAUUUUUUGCAGCCAUUAAUUGUUGGCAUCCUGAGUCAGAAUGCAGAGCUCAAUAUAAUAAAAUUCAUGGUUAUCCAGUGUUAAUGUUAUAUCCAUCCAGAGAUUCUGGUAUUAAUUAUAGAGGAAUACGUACGGCACCGUAUAUGAUUCGUUUUCUUGAUGCGCUUAUGAAUCCUAUUAUUAGAAUAACGCAUAAAGAACAACUAAUGGAAUUAUUGGUUACUUAUGACGCAGUAGUCGUUGGGUAUUUUAAUUUUACACGAUUGGAUAGAACUCCUGGAUACAGGGAGUUUUACAAGGCCGCAAUACGAUCAUUGGAAAGAGAUCCUAAUAGAGAAUUGGUGUUUGCUAUAGUGACUAGUGCGUCAUCUAGCAAACUGCAUUACGGAGUUUACAAAUUUCCAUCAGCAAGUUUGCUUAUGUGGAAUGAAUCUUUAAGUUAUCCAGAAGGCAAUGAGUGGACUUCCGAGAACAUCUUAAACUGGAUUAGCAGUUCCGUACAUCAGCCAUCUCUCUGGCUACAGCCUCCUGGAAUCAAGGCGCUUACUCUCGCACCUUAUCUUCGUGAAGGACCAGUUUUAUUUCUGUUUACACCACGAAAUCCACUUCAUACAGAAAAUUACAUUUAUAAUCUGGUAAGGGAGAUCGGUUUGCAAUAUUACAACUGUGCGGAUAGUAUGCUAGUGAAAGAUAUAGUAACACGUCUGGAAGCAAAACGACGUACAGCAAUGAUUCGACACUUUUCUAGGAAUCAAGAAUGUGCCAAUCUAAAGAAAAAUAACACUUAUACCGAGCAAAUAACGGAAUCAGUUGCUAGCAUAUUAAUUCAGCAGUGGCUUAACAACAGUUGUUGUGCAAAUGUUGCAAUGAAUAAAUGUCUUCUAUGCAAGACAAACAUAAAUUCAUUAGAGAAAGAAAUUUGCACAGACAUUUCUAAAAAAAUUGAUAAUGUCUGCAAAGAUACUGAUAUAUUCACAAUUCCUGUUACGAUCAAACAACAUGGAAAGCAGAUAUAUAAUUAUAACAAAAAUUAUGUAUCAAUAAAAUUACAAAAAGAAUCAAAAUUAAAAAGGCUGCAUGCAGAUAUAGAAUAUGAAUCAUCAUUAUUGAAGGAAGAAAACGAUUCGCGAUCCGCAACCAUGGUGAGAAGAGAUUUUUUAAAAGAGAAUUGUAAAAGAUGGUUGGCUGGGAAUGAUUAUCAUCCAUCAUUAUUUCCACGAGAUUCUCCAAGACAGUUCAAUAUCAGCUUAAAAGAAUCAGUGUGCAAAACUAACAAGACAUUAGCAUUGAUAGCUAUUGAUAGUUUGCAUUACUUCCAUUUUGCAGAACAUCUUGGGAUUGAUAUCUCGAAACGGAAAAAUAAAACCACUGUUGUUAUCUUGGAUGCUGCAACAGAUUGAUCAUCUCAACAAGACCCUUUAAUUGAUGGAUUGAUGACAAAAUGGUAGCUGCUAAUUUGUCUCUUUCACAUUGAUGGGCUGUGGAUACAGGGGAUGCAGGCACAAUAGGUGAUUGCCGUGAUUUAGAUGACCGUGAUUUAGAAUCUUUAACUUUACUCCUGAUCAACAUUUCCUGCUGAUUGAUCUUUUCCUGCAAACAUCAUUUACUCGCUGAAGAGGACAAACUGAAUUGACGUAUUCUGGCAUAACAUUGCGUGCAAAAGUUUCAAGCUCUGGUAAAUGUUUAGAAGCUUCAAAACCUUUCAAUGAUUGUUGUUAAAUCCUGUCAUAUAUUUAAUAGGUUCUUCAAGGACACAGGCAAUUCUACAUCUAUUUCUUUUUCUAUGACUUCCCAAAAGUCCUUGCAAGGCUUCUCUACUUCUUCUACUUGCUCUUGAUCGUUUUCUUCCUCAAUUAGUUUCUCUUGCUGGUUUUUGCUUUUGUCUUGAACUGUGUUGCUCCAAGCUUUUUUCAGUUGUAUUCUCUAUUUUGUGUUUUGUGUUUAUUGUAAACAGCUGUAAAUGAGAAAAAAAAUUAAAAUUUAAUUAUUGAUUUUUUUCAUUUUACAUUUGGAGAUAGAGUCUGAAACAGAGUCUGAAGCCCUUUGAUGGCAUUUUCCGAGUUGUAUAAGCAGCAGUUCUUUAUUUGAUUAACACAUAAAAGCAUAAUGUAUAAUUGGAAUAAAGAUAUAAAUAAAAUCAAAA
This is an RNA transcript of Monomorium pharaonis (pharaoh ant), 2576 nucleotides long. It is a transcript of the gene named thioredoxin domain-containing protein 11, with no coding region annotated. The record is from RefSeq and is a predicted model, not a curated record. Lineage: Eukaryota; Metazoa; Arthropoda; Insecta; Hymenoptera; Formicidae. The transcript is spliced from 9 exons.